UUAGUUUACUAUUGGAGCGGUUAGUGGCGGACUGGUGAGUAACACGUAAGCAACCUGCCUAUCAGAGGGGAACAACAGUUAGAAAUGACUGCUAAUACCGCAUGGACACAUAGGUGUCGCAUGGCACUUAUGUCAAAGAUUUAUCGCUGAAAGAUGGACCCGCGUCUGAUUAGCUGGUUGGUGAGGUAACGGCCCACCAAGGCGACGAUCAGUAGCCGGCCUGAGAGGGUGAACGGCCACAUUGGGACUGAGACACGGCCCAAACUCC
Molecule: ribosomal RNA, 268 nt
Filed under: uncultured Eubacteriales bacterium
Lineage: Bacteria; Bacillati; Bacillota; Clostridia; Eubacteriales
Description: uncultured Clostridiales bacterium partial 16S ribosomal RNA
Rfam family: Bacterial small subunit ribosomal RNA
Source: RNAcentral